AGGAAACGAGAGGAGGGGCCAGCCCCAGGCCCCAAAAUACCCAUGGCA
Molecule: non-coding RNA, 48 nt
Organism: Mus musculus (house mouse)
Lineage: Eukaryota; Metazoa; Chordata; Mammalia; Rodentia; Muridae
Source: Rfam